AUUGAACGCUGGCGGCAGGCCUAACACAUGCAAGUCGAACGAGUGGCGGACGGGUGAGUAAUGUCUGGGAAACUGCCUGAUGGAGGGGGAUAACUACUGGAAACGGUAGCUAAUACCGCAUACCAUCAGAUGUGCCCAGAUGGGAUUAGCUUGUUGGUGGGGUAAAGGCUCACCAGGGAGACGAUCCCUAGCCGGUCUGAGAGGAUGACAGGCCACACGGGAACUGGGACACGGUCCAGACUCCUACGGGGGGCAGCGGUGGGGAACUUUGCACAAUGGGCGCAAGCCGAAUGCAGCAAUGCGGCGUGUAUGAGGAAGGCUUUCGGGUUGUAAAGUACUUUCAGCGGGGAGGCGUUACCCGCAGAGGAAGCACCGGCUAACUCCGUGCCAGCAGCCGCGGUAAUUC
RNAcentral lists this ribosomal RNA (406 nucleotides) under uncultured bacterium. RNAcentral describes it as "partial 16S ribosomal RNA". It matches the Rfam family "Bacterial small subunit ribosomal RNA", at positions 29 to 526 of the family's 1533-position model. The record is from RNAcentral.